RNAcentral lists this ribosomal RNA (435 nucleotides) under uncultured bacterium. Its description in RNAcentral is "bacterial SSU rRNA". It matches the Rfam family "Bacterial small subunit ribosomal RNA", at positions 355 to 796 of the family's 1533-position model. The record is from RNAcentral.
UCGAGGAUCUUCGGCAAUGAGCGCAAGCUUGACCGAGCGACGCCGCGUGAGCGAUGAAGGCCUUCGGGUUGUAAAGCUCUUUAGUGGGGGAGAAAAGCCCGCAAGGGUGUGAUCUAUCCCAAAAAUAAGCACGGGCUAAGUUCGUGCCAGCAGCCGCGGUAAGACGAACCGUGCGAACGUUGUUCGGAAUCACUGGGCUUAAAGGGCGCGUAGGCGGGCUGUCAAGUCUGGGGUGAAAUGCCGCGGCUCAACCGUGGAACUGCCUUAGAUACUGACGGCCUCGAGGAAGGUAGGGGCAUGCGGAACUGUAGGUGGAGCGGUGAAAUGCGUUGAUAUCUACAGGAACUCCGGUGGCGAAAGCGGCGUGCUGGACCUUUUCUGACGCUGAGGCGCGAAAGCUAGGGGAGCAAACGGGAUUAGAUACCCCCGUAGUCC